AUCCGGCUGAUGAGUCAAAAAUAAGACGAAAUGCGCAUCCUGUAU
RNAcentral lists this non-coding RNA (45 nucleotides) under Schistosoma margrebowiei. The record is from RNAcentral. Lineage: Eukaryota; Metazoa; Platyhelminthes; Trematoda; Strigeidida; Schistosomatidae.